RNAcentral lists this ribosomal RNA (458 nucleotides) under Aurantiochytrium limacinum. RNAcentral's name for it is "partial Bacterial large subunit ribosomal RNA". It matches the Rfam family "Bacterial large subunit ribosomal RNA", at positions 419 to 878 of the family's 2925-position model. Lineage: Eukaryota; Bigyra; Thraustochytrida; Thraustochytriidae. The record is from RNAcentral.
GGAGCACGUGAAAUUCCGUGUGAAUCAGCGAGGACCACCUCGUAAGGCUAAAUAUUCCUGAAUGACCGAUAGUGAAAUAGUACCGUGAGGGAAAGGUGAAAAGAACCCCGGGAGGGGAGUGAAAAGAACAUGAAACCAUAAACUUACAAUCAGUAGGAGGACGACUAAAACGUCUAACUUCGUGCCUGUUGAAGAAUGAGCCGGCGACUUAUAGGUAGUGGCAGGUUAAGGCAGAGAAUGCCGGAGCCAUAGUGAAAGCGAGCCUGAAUAGGGCGUUUGUCACUGGUUAUAGACCCGAACCCGGAUGAUCUAACCAUGGUCAGGUUGAAGCUUAGGUAAUACUAAGUGGAGGACCGAACCGACUGAUGUUGAAAAAUCAGCGGAUGAACUGUGGUUAGGGGUGAAAUUCCAAUCGAAUUCGGAGCUAGCUGGUUCUCCCCGAAAUGCGUUUUGGCGCA